UUGUCGUUUGAAAGCAGGGGUGGUCAGCACUCUCCUUCUAAUGGCCAUGUGGCCUGCAGCACACAUAAGGUUAAGACAUUGCCACUUAGCUUCUUGCAUCUCUAAACUUUCU
This 112-nucleotide non-coding RNA is filed under the name Oryzias javanicus (javanese ricefish). Lineage: Eukaryota; Metazoa; Chordata; Actinopteri; Beloniformes; Adrianichthyidae. The record is from RNAcentral.